This 804-nucleotide non-coding RNA is filed under the name Stenamma diecki. Lineage: Eukaryota; Metazoa; Arthropoda; Insecta; Hymenoptera; Formicidae. The record is from RNAcentral.
AUAAAAUAUAAUUGUUAUUUAAAAAUUUAUUUUAUAAUUAUAAUAUAAAUAAAAUUUUAAUAUAUAGAUUAUUUAAAUUUAAAAAAUUUAAUAUCAUUUAUUUAAUAUUUAAAAUAAUUAUAUUUAUUAAUGUAGGUAUAGUAAAUUAUAAAAAUAGUAAUAAAUUUAGUGCCAGCAAUUGCGGUUAAACUAAUUGGAUUAUAAAUAAAUUAAUAUAAUUAAGAUGUAAUUAAGAAGACAAUAAAAUUAAAGUAAUAAUUUAAAUUAAUUAGGUUAUAUGGUGAAAUAUUUAAUAUUUAAUAAAAAUUAUGAAGUAAUAUUUAUAAAGGAUUUGUAAAUUAAGUAUAAAACUAGGAUUUGAUACCCUAUUAUUUUAAUAAAUUUUUAAAUUAAUUAAAAAAUAAAUGUAAAUCAUUAAAUUUAAAUGAUUUGGCGGUAUUUUAAAUAGUCAGAGGAACUUGUUGAAUAAAUGAUAAUCCACGAUAGGAAGGUCUUAAUUAGUUUUUAUGUAUUGUUAUUUUAAAUUAUUUUAAAAGAAUAUGAUUGGUAAAUUAUGUUUAAGAGUUUAAUUUAAAUCAAAAUGUAGGAUUUUUAAGUUUAAAUGAGUUACAUUUUUUUUAAUUAUUGGAUUUUUAAUUUUAAUUAUUAUUUUAAAAAAGGAUUUGAUAGUAAAUAUAUAUAAUUUAAUAUAUUGAAAUUUAAUUAAAAUAUGUACAAAUUGCCCGUCAUUUUCAUGAAGGUUAAAUAUAUAAGUGAAAAAAGUCGUAACAAAGUAAGUGUAUAUGAAUAUGUACUUAGAGUAUA